Felis catus (domestic cat) is the source of this 7088-nucleotide long non-coding RNA. RefSeq lists it as uncharacterized. The transcript is spliced from 3 exons. The record is from RefSeq and is a predicted model, not a curated record. NCBI's taxonomy places the organism in Eukaryota, Metazoa, Chordata, Mammalia, Carnivora, Felidae.
UGAAGGCCCGUUCACUCCUUCUGCCUUCAACCCUGUCCUGGGCGGGGCUCAGCCUGCUACACGGCCCCGCCCACGCCGGCGGCCCCGCCCACUCCGCCUCACCUGCGCUGGAGCUCCGGCCAACGCCCGCCAGGCGCAGGGCUGUGUGACAACUCCCAUACACCACCGUCCUCACCUCCUCUCCAAGUCAGAUGCAUCUGUCUCAGAGCCCUUGCGCACGGCACUGGGGCUGAGAGCAGCGACCCUACCUGGUAAAGUUGGAGGUCACUGUGCCGUCUAAAUCACGAGGAGCCAUUUGACUGGUGUGAGGUGAUAUCUCACUGUGGUUCUGAUAUCCGUUUCCUUCAGAGCGUGGCCUAUUCUGAAUGUCCAGUGCAGGCAGCGCUCCUGGACAAGAUGGCGCCCAGAACCUCUCCUUCUCCCCAACAUGGUCAUGGAGGAGGGGUGGAACCAGGAGGGAAAUGGAAGAUGGCCAGACAAGGUAAAGUUGGGGCUUUUGUAAAAAGGCUCUUCUCAGAUUUGGCCUUGGACUAGGAUAUUGUGAGAGUCUCACAGCACGGGUGAUGUCAGGGGCAUCCCUGAAAUCUUCCAAGACCUAAGACCCUCCCAGCCACGUGGUCCCUGCCUCAUGCAGCGUUAUAUUAUUUAUUCCAAGACCCCGAGGCCACAGCUCCAAAGGUGACGGGCCCCAGUAGCCACAGGUGAGGCCACAAAAGGGUUCCUGGAGCCACAUGCCAUGCCCACUGCUCACUGAACACACUGACCGCGAUCUAAGCAGUUUUUUCAUGGACUAGUGAGGGGACCCUCUGAUCACAACCUAAAGCAAAAGGAAAGCAGCAGCCCCCAAAGUUCCUACUGUUUCAAAAUGUACAUUUAGUAGGAGAGGAAAACAGGGUAGAGAGAAAUGGUGGGCACCCGGCGCCGGGCUCGCUGCCUACCUUUGUCAGGGUUAUUCAGCUGGAAGAUAUCGGGGUGCUCGGGGUCAUCAGGAAGCUGCACCAUCCAGCCCACAACGGAGACCUUUUUGCCGGGUGUGGAUUUAUACUGGGGAAGAGCAACAGCGUAACCAGGAGGCCCACGCCCUCCAUUCCCCCGCAUCGUCUCUCCCAGGAAGGCUGGGGGGCCCGGCGAGGUUCCUUCCCACCCCUGCCACCUCCCCUGCCUCCCUCCGCCCCUCCUCUGCAGGUCACACUACAUGAAGUCCCAGCAUGGAAAGUCCUUUCAUGGGACUUACGUGUUUUCUGUCCGUGCCCCGCAAGGACUUGGCUCCGUAGUACAGGAGGGUGGAUCCCGAGAGGAUGACCCAGUACCUGGUCCACGAGGAAAGCUGCAGAGGAAGAGGAGGCAGAGUGACACCCCAGCAAGUAGUGGGGAAGUCCCCCCUCCCUGUCUGAUUACAGACCCAGCCCCGUGGGUGGAAGGGUGCCCCCCCCCCCCGGCCUCAAGCCAAUGCCAGUGCUGGCUUCACCUCCUCACCUCUUCCCUGGCCACUCACCCACUAAUGUCACUUCUACCCAGGGCCUAGAGGAGGGAGACGCUCCUCAUCUGUGCCUCCGAACUCCUCAGCCCUAAGCCCUACCUCCCCUCUCUGGCUCCUUUACUCAAGAGCCUUUCGUUUCCUAGCUUGUUUAAGGCUUGUUAAGAGCCAAGGCUUAAUUCCUACGUAUUGAGGUAACUUGGGCCCAAGAAUAUCCUGGGGAAAAAUAUUUUUAUUUUUUACUUUAAAAAAAUUUUUAUUUUUUUAAAUGUUUAUUUACUUUUGAAGGGGGGAGGGGCAGAGAGAGGGAGACAGAGGGUCUGAAGCGGACUCCACACGACAGCAGAGAACAUGAUGGGGGCUCAAACUCAGAACUGUGAGAUCAUGACCUGAGCCGAAGUCGGACGCUUAACUGACAGAGCCACCCAGGCGCCCCAGGGAAAAACAUUGUUAAAACCCAGACAUGCUCAGCCAUCGCCCAGCAGAACCAUGAUACCCGCACUGGGGUGCUCUGGCUGAGAUGGAAUGCCAAUGCUGUGCUGACCCUCUCGAGGGCAGUACCAACCUAACUCCAGGGCUCUGCCAGCUUCCACUUGCCCUCAUCACAGCCCUGGCUCACCGCACGCUCACUGUGUGCACGGCCAUGCAUGUGACCUUCUUGCCAAGUCCUCUAGGACACAGACACUAUUUUAUCCCAAUUUACAGAUAUGGGAACUGAGGCCCUUGCCCACUCAGUGGCACAGCCAGGGCUGGAGCCCGGGGCCCUCACCGAUGCCCCGGCCGCCUCCGGGUGGAGGGCUGUCUGCACUUACCGCGGGCUUCCGUCCUUCCUUGAGCAGAGUUUUCCUCCUCAGAGGACCCUCCAUGGUGGGCACUGCGGCUGAGCUCCCCAGCGUACAGAUGCACGGGCCCGUGGGGCUGAGGGGAGACCACCAGUCAGAUGCCGCCCUGCAGGAGCUGGUGUCAGGCACCCUCUCCCUCCCACGUCCCCACUGCAGAGUCCCUGAUCCUGCGCCAGGCCACAAACUCAACGCUAUCGAGAAAAGGCCAGGGAGGGGCCCCUGAGGCCGAGGGCAGCUUGAAGGAAGAGGGGCCAGGGCGGCCGCAGCCGCAAACUUUCACCUCCCUCGUCUUUCUGAGCCUGCAAGGCCAGAGGCUUGGUGACCGAGCUCCCUAUAACCCAGGCCCCAGCAGCACCCGCCACCCUGUCCUGAGCUCUGCGGUGGCUUCCUCCUGCCUUGCCCCUGUGCUCCCACCUUUCUCUGGGGCCUAUGCAGCCCCUCCUUGUGUGGGCAGGAGCCUGGAGGAGCAGUGGGGGAGGUGGGGGUGGAGUGAGGAGCGGGGAGGAGGACAGCUGACCAGCCCUGCACCUUUGCCUCAGGGCUCCCUUCUCCCCCAGGGCCGCAGGGUUUCAGGUGCCACCUACAGGUGAAGGCCGCCAAGUGCAGCUCUGACCGGGACCUGUCCCCUGGGCUUCACUCACUGGGCAGGCGCCUCCCAUGGGCAUCUCCCUCAACUUGGCGCCUUUCCUCAAGCUGCUUUUUCUCCACGUGCGUGUGAAUGGCACCGCCGUCCACCUGGCGGCUUGAACCAGGGACCUGGGGUGUUUCUCCACUUACUCCUCCACCCCUGCAACCUACUGAAUCCCGAGGAUGCCCUGAUCCCAAGUCCUACAUAUGCCUGACUACCCCUCUCAGUCACCCUGCCCGCCCCCGCCCCCCCUACCUUAGGCCAACUUGGCUCUUCCUUUGGACAACUGCCCGAUGCUCUGCCCCGGCCUCCCUGCGGCCCCUCCUGCCUUCCUCCUGCACCCUCUCCAGCUCUCCAUGCCUCUGGCCAGGAUGACCUGGUCAUGCCACAGUCUGUCACCUCCCCCCAACCCUGCUCGGUCCCACCUCUCCAACCUCAUCUCCACCCCUCCCCCUCUCAUUUCUGACAACACUGACUCUCCUUCAUUUGCUUCGGCUUGGGGCACUCUUAUUAUCGCUACACCUCCCCUCCCUGUAUUUGCUUAAUUCCUAUCACUCUUCCAGUCGUUUCUCCAGAGAGCCCUUCCUUGCUCCAUCCCACCUCCACUCUGGGACCAUCAGUCAUCCGGGAUUAUCCGUUAGGCCUGUUUCUCCCGUGGCAGCGGCGUCCCGGGCCAAGGCAGAGGCCACGUCUGUCCCAUGAGCAACCUCUAGCACGGUGUGUGGCCUCCAACGAGCAGCCUAGAGCUGUUCGUCAAAUAACUGAACACACGAAUCAAUGAAUACCUGUAGACGCAGCUCCGGGUCCGGGGAGAAUUCCGAACUGGAACGCGCCAGUUGGGCCCCAGGGUGGCAUAGAGACGUCCCCUGCUUCAGAGGAAAAGGGUGGACUUUUAGCAACAGCCCGGAACAACCAGAUACUCUGAGGAAGCGAGGGUAUCUCGGACCCUGCGGUCAUUAGCUCGGGAAGCUUCAACCUCAACUCUUCCCACACCUCCUCCAUCAUGCUACAGGCACAUCUGGGGCACAUUGGAGCCCCUAGAGGCUCCGUCAGGGCCAGUUCCCAAGGCCCCAGGUGAUUCUUCCCUUAACUUUCUAAUUAAAUGUUUACCCCUCUUCCAGUGGCAGGGGGCGACUAAAAUCAGGGCACACCCACUUACCCAGUGUGAAGCUGACAUAUUUAACAGAAAAAAGCAGGAAAUCCCAAAUGUUCCAUGGCUAAUCCAGCGAAAAGGGCGCACACAGCGACAGAACUGUGGGCAGUCUUGCACGUUGGGCCUGGGGGGGGGGGGUGGGCCCUGGAAUCUCUCCGUGGGCUACCCCUCCGGCUUCUCAGCUCCUCUCUCUCCUGGAGUCCCCAGCAGGCAGCCCUUGCAGAGGAAGGUGCAGUUUCCAGAGUAAGCAGGGAGCUUAACCUAUUUGGGGGGAGGCUUCCAUUUUUCUUCUCUUCGUCUUUUCCUCUUUCAGCAGAAUGACUUCUUGUAUCCACUCGGUCCUCAACCUUCUCACCCCUGCAGCAUGGUCUCUCCCUGGGCUGUAGCAUUCCUUGCCCAUUGGCUAAACAAUGAUGUAACCCAAUUUAUAGUCAGACGGGGUGAAGACUUCCUUUUCAAAUAUUCUCUCUAUUCUCUACUGCCUGUCCUCGGUUGCUGCGUGCUGCCCCACAGCUCUGGACACCUGGGGGUGGCGUGGGACAUCGUCAUUCACUCCAGCAGGUGCGUCAUACCGUAAGUGAGCUCUGGUUCCUCCAAGAGAGGGUGUCGUUGUUCGCUGCCCCUCCAUCCUCCGCUUGAGAAGGACCUGUUCUUGAGGAGCAUCUUGGGUCUGCUGUGCAGAGGCCCAAGUUCAGGGCUCGUGGGAGUCUGAGGCCUUCUAGGCCAACUGCUCUGGGACCCUGCUCCUUCUGCCCAACAGCUACUCCUCUUCAGGAGGUAAAGAGCCACAGCAUGUGCUUGGCCCCUCAAGUCCUCAAAUGCAGUGGAUCUCAGCCUUUCCCCACCACCCCUUGGUGACAGAUGAUGGUCAGAGGCUGACCCCACCCCUGCCCCCGCCAUGAACUGUGGCACAGAGGCGGCCCUGGCAUGCCCAACUCCCAGCCCACAGACCGACGGUUUCCUCCCUCUCUUCCAUUCAGAAAGAGGCUUGCAAUGCAGUGAGUGGGCGACAUUACAGGUCAUGAUGAAUCUGCUCUCACUUAUGAAAAGCUUCAGUACUUUCACCAUUAACUGGGAACACUACUGCGUACCUCACAGCUGAGUGUGGCACCGUGACAUGUUACCACCCCGUGCUUAAGCGGGCUGCCUCCAGGGUUGCUUUCCUCCACAGCCACCACCAGAGGUUUCUUAUGAAUUGGGGCAGAGUGUGACAGUGAACCUUUCUGCGAUGACAUUCCUUGUGGCAGGAAGACGUCUCCUCGCUUGAUCUGGAACCCUGCUCUGAACCACCACCUGUCUGGAGUUGGAGAUGGAGCCUCCCUUUCCAGAGCUGGGUCCUCUGGCCUCUUCUUCUCCACCUUUCAUCUUGUGGGUCUUUUUGCCCUGGUACUCGAAGAAAAUGUGUGAUGACAGCAGGCUGUCCCCAGUGACUGGCAGUUCCACCAACAGGGGGGUGUGGCUGCCACUGCUACCUUCCCUCUGUCGUGCUCUCCUUUCUGAGACUGUCCAUGGCUGCACACUCAAUAGAUGUCUGCAGGACUGACGCUUGUUGACGGAGACCCUUAAACCAACAUCUUCCAACCAGCCUAGCCUUGUAAGCAACCUCUCUUCACAUUCUUUCUAAGGGCGCGGGGUGCCCCCUGGCGCACUGGACUGGUGGGGGAGUGUGGGGGCACGGAGAUCACUAGUGAGUGGGGGCUCAUAUGUGCAAGGCUGUUACACUCACCAUCUCACUGGAGCUUUGUUUAAGUUAAGCACAUUAUCUUCCCCAGAAUAGGGAAACUGAGGCUCAAUGAUGUGAAGACACUUGACAGAGGCCUGAGCGUAAUAAACCAGGACUGGACCCUGUUCUGUCUGGUUGUAUAGCCCAAGCUCUUCCCACACCCUUCAGGGUCACAGGGAGGCCCAGAUGUCACGUGUUGGGGCUCUGCCACAGGCACUGGCUCUGUGUGUGGAACUGGCACCAUGUGGGUGGCUUCUGGGUGCUCUCCCAGAGGUACCCCUCCAUGUAGGUCUCUGCCACAGCUCACACUGAUCAGGCUUUGUCAGUGUCCAUGAGACUGGACGGCCAUAACAGUCUUAGGCCCUAGAUCUCCUUGGGUAGGACCCUUCCCAGGCCCCUCGUCCCUUGGUCUCCGCGCUGGAGUAACCUUCUGGUGGUUUUGGCUGACGGGCACGGAAGGGCAACUGCUUACCACGAGACACGCCGCUCCUCCCAACUCUGUGAAGGGUGCUAUUCCCACCGUGACUCAAGUGAGGAACCUGAGGCUCAAGGAAGUGAAGCCACUCAUCCCACCCCACUGGCCUGUCAUUAGGGAUUUAGGGAUGGAGAUGCAAAUAUUAACAAAGGGAGUCUGGCUUUCUGGUAUGAGUAGACAGCUUAUGUCAGCCAAGCUCCUCCAAGUGGGGGAAGUCAGAGUCUGCUUCCCUGGAGCCUGGGGGAGUGACCCUGGCCUUGAAGGGCAGUGUAAUGGUGAAUUUUCUUCAAGGCCAGCUUUUAGAAUAGUUAGGGUUGUGGUGGCCACCCUUCCUCCCAAGAUGAGCCCCGUACGCUGGAGUGGGGGUUGUUGAUAGUUGGGUGAUUCUGGUCAGGCCCAGGCAGGCUAAAAUCAGCACAGAGGAGCUAGGAUCUUCAGCCAUUGGAACCAAUCUGAUCACUGCCCUGCUUUGAGAAGAUUUGUUAUUUUGAAUGUUCAGGGACAGAAAUGCAGAAUGAAUGAGCAUUGUAUCUGGUGAACUCAGAAAUCAGGGACUUUCUUGGACUGACAUGGCUCCCACUCCAGAACCACAGACAACUUUCCUGGCAUGAUGCUGGAGCAGAAUGUGGCUAAAUGGAAUGUAUUCCAGGAAAGCCAUUUUACAGUCUCCUCUGAGGGGUGGAUCUUGGGUAGUGGUGGGGAGGAGGGAUGCAGGAAGCAACCCUACUCACGGGAAGUCUGGUCUGGGGAAGAUGUAGGAUGACAACCAAAUAAAACACUUCAGUCCCAA